Molecule: long non-coding RNA, 839 nt
Organism: Rhinichthys klamathensis goyatoka
Lineage: Eukaryota; Metazoa; Chordata; Actinopteri; Cypriniformes; Leuciscidae
Exons: 3
Source: RefSeq, a predicted model, not a curated record
UAUCAUGAGGUCUUAGAGGAGAGUCAGCUGUUUACAGAGUGCUGGCAAAUUUAGGUUCAUAGUAAGAAAUUAACUUUCAGUGGAUCGUUUGCAGCAAUGAAUAGUGCACUUAUUGCAUUUAAUCCACCUAUUCUAUUCUAUGUCAGCAAGUACUUUGAGCUUCUUGAUUUAUUACAGUAUACUAUCCGGGCAACUUAUUAAAUGAACGUGUUUUAUGAUUUUAUUCUGGUUUUAAGCUAUUAAUCAGUCUUCCCGUGGUGGCUUCAACACUCACAGUGGUUUAACUAUGUUUCCUCAGCUCUCCGGGUCUUGCUGUGCUCUGGGAAACGCAAUGGUCUUCCAGCCAUUUGACAGAUUUAUUUUUGGAGCAUUUGCCGUUGUUGGAAAGAGUAGAUCCAUCUGUCAUGACACCAAGGAUUUCAUUAUAACUCACAGCUUUGCGGUGAACAUUUGUAGGAUUCUCAAUCGAACCUCUGACCGCAACAUUACCAUCAGAUUCAUCCCAGAUAAUAAAACACAGAUUUGAACAUUGUUGCUGUGGUCAGAGGGAUCAGAAUUUUAGAUCCAAGUCCAAAGGAUAUAAAUGUGUAUAAACUCGAUCUCUUCAUCGAGAUCUCAGUCUAGAAACAUCUUGAAGGAACGGAGAAGAUGUUGGCAGUUCCUCUCCCCUCUGUUUCCAGCCUGAGACGCAUUCUUUUCUUCCGGUAAUAAACUUGUCUAUCCCUCUAAUUUACUGUGAGUCUGAAGGGAUGACGGCAAAGCCUGGUUUGCUGCAGUCACUUUGUGCACAAAAUGUUUUCUGUGUUCACAUACAAGAAAUGAACUUGAAUACAUCGGUG